RNAcentral lists this long non-coding RNA (284 nucleotides) under Durio zibethinus. RNAcentral's name for it is "long non-coding RNA (DZIB_LNC001946)". Lineage: Eukaryota; Viridiplantae; Streptophyta; Magnoliopsida; Malvales; Malvaceae. The record is from RNAcentral.
UCGCAUAUAGGCUUACGCUUUAAGUUAAGGGCAUCAUGGUAUAACCGUCGAGGUAAGGUAAGGCAGGACCUAAGGAGAUCGAAUGGAAGGGUACAUAGACAAGUAAAUCCCUUAUGACACUCCUUUAAUUUAAGAGGAUUCAUCAUUCGAGGGGAAGUAGACUACUCAAGAAUUUCACAUUUCAUUUAUGUCCUAAUUUCGAAUUGAAUAAAGAAUUAAGAAAUUUACACCACUACCCCAUUGUGAGGCACAUUUUAUAGAAUAAAAUUAAAAGGCAAAGGGGG